AAAACCAUGUUAUACAUUGUUACGACCCAGGGUCGUCUGUGUAUUUUUCAGUGUUGGAUUUCGUCUGUGCUGUGGUUCCUCCCGGCCUGAAGGUGGUGUUACCACCCUUAGGCUCUCUCCCUCUCCAGGUGCUGCUCCUCCCGGCCUGAGGGUGGUGCUACCACCAUUGGUGUUUCUCCAGGUGCUGGCUGUUGAUUGGUGCAGGGGCUGGAGGAGCUGCUAUAAAUGGCCGCCGCUGGAGACAAUCCUUCUCCUUCUCUUGACCCUGCUCCCAACUGCACCAGGCUUACCAUGUGGCAUUAUAUUGUAUUGUGUUUUGUUAUGUUAAAACUUAAGCAGUCCAGGUAAUCGUAGGGCACCUCACCAUGGGGCAGGACCGCAACAACCGUUGCCAAAACAACUCCCUGCAUUUAACAUGCGGAGAGUUACUCAAGGAACGGCAGUCCCUCCUCUUCUCCCUCCACCCCCGACAUCAACCCUGAACCUGCGGCCAACAGAGGAGCCUUCUUCAAGCCCCGCCAUCAGACCAACAUGGCGACGGGGAAGAAUGAAUGAGUCCAUUCCCUGCUCUGCGGCUGAAGUCCACAUCCUGAACCUGCUGGAGACGAUUAAACAGCAACAAGACCAGCUCGUGGCAAAGGUCAACUACCUCAGCAGCAGGAUGAACAGCACCGGGGCCAGUCGUUGAGAUGCCUGACAAUAUUAAUCUCCCCUUGGAACACCUGGAGGCAGUGGAGGCAUUUGAGGUGUUUUUAAAAUAACCCUCAAACUACCCAGCUCGACAGAGAGUAAUUGCUUCUUUGGCCACAAUUGGAGGCCAGGAUUUGAAGAGGGUGACUUGGAACAUUCUUGGCCGGCUAUACACAGACAACGUGUCCCACCAAAUCAACUGGAAAGGUGUGAACAACAAAAAGGCCUUCAGCCAGAUGUCGGCAAAGAGCUUGCUUUUCAGUGCUGUGAGGAAAAAUGCUAUCACAAAGUCUGUCACCGAUGCGGAGGUCACCAAGCACACCAUCCGGUGGUUUAACCUGGCCAUGGAUCGGGCGACAAAGAGACGAGGAGGUGUCCGUCCCCCAUCUAGUCCCUCACAGCCGUAGUCUUAAUUGAAACAGUUGAGAACAUAAUCAAUAAAAAAAAAAUUA
Molecule: long non-coding RNA, 1142 nt
Organism: Gadus chalcogrammus (walleye pollock)
Lineage: Eukaryota; Metazoa; Chordata; Actinopteri; Gadiformes; Gadidae
Exons: 6
Source: RefSeq, a predicted model, not a curated record